Molecule: long non-coding RNA, 286 nt
Organism: Prionailurus viverrinus (fishing cat)
Lineage: Eukaryota; Metazoa; Chordata; Mammalia; Carnivora; Felidae
Exons: 2
Source: RefSeq, a predicted model, not a curated record
CACAAUUCAUUCAAGCAGUCUCCCAUUGAUGGACCUUUAAGCAUCAUCAGACCUGAUGCCAUGCACCUGCUCAGCUCUGCACCAGGCAAAGAUGCUGAAGGAGGCUGGCCCAUCACCACUUCAGACUUUCUCCCAUCCCUUGAAUCGGCUCACCUCCCAGCAGCCCCCAGUUCUGGAGACUCAGCUUUCAAUCCAUGUGACAGGCAGAAGAGCCAAAUCUACAAGUACAGUAAAAAUAUUAUGAGGCCUUCCAUUGGCAAAAUGCAAAUAUAAAAAUGUAACAACA